RNAcentral lists this long non-coding RNA (2399 nucleotides) under Anas zonorhyncha (Eastern spot-billed duck). RNAcentral describes it as "lncRNA (ENSAZOG00000007139.1)". Lineage: Eukaryota; Metazoa; Chordata; Aves; Anseriformes; Anatidae. The record is from RNAcentral.
CAACAGCUCAGGGUUUGGGCUUGGUGUUGCACUGUAUUAACUGCGGGCAUUCACAGUCAUGAAAUAACUCAGGAAAUAAUGAGAGCUAAAAAAGUCUUGUGGGCUCUCCUGAACUGCAGUUUGGACAUUAGGGAUCUUCAUCUGUCAGCUUUUCCUGGCAGGUAGGAGGGGGUUUAAGGGCUUCUUUUCUUUUCUCUUUCUUUUUUUGAGACAUAAGGAAGCAGAAUUCACUAGGCUUAGGGAGCGGAGGGCAUAAUGAGAGGAUAAGAUCUUGUAAAACUUCUGAUUAAACAAACAAAUGGAAACAGGGAGAAAAGAGAUAACCCUACACUGAAGAACCGCUUUCCUGCUCGAAGAACAUCAGUGACUCAAAAGGUAAUAAAUGCAGGCUGGACUCCAGCACUGUAAACCAUGCUGGUCUCACGUUAGAGCUAGGGGACAAUGUCUGGGUGACCAGACAAGUUUCCCAUGAAGGCAUCAGUCCAAAUCCCGAGGACGAUCCUUAAUCGAGCACCAGGGGCAGAGCAGGGAGGCCAGGCCCACCUGCCUGCACUUUGCCAUCAGCUGCAGGUGGUUGGCGAGGGGCUGGGGGAUAAAUGAGGAGCUGGGGACAAGGUGUCCCCUCCAGCAGUGUGAGGGGCAGUCUGCAGCAGGCUUGUGGGGUAUUGUCUGCUUUGUGCCUGCCUCGGGAAGCAUGCGGAGCUGCUGCUUUGGCCUUGAGGCCCUGCUACGAAGCCUGCGCGUGUGGCUCGGCUGGUGAAGUAAAUUCCCGGCGAUGUCAGAUCGCGUGAUGGUGGAGCCGGUUCGAAGCCCCCGCUCUCAAAGCGACUUCCAGCAGACCAUGACGGGGAUCAAGGUCCAGGGGAACAGGAUCUCCUCCAGAAACCUUGAGCAUCCCCUCCCAGUGUCUAUCGAGCUCUUGCUCCAAGCUGUGUCCUCGUGGGUCUCCUGCGAAGGUCACAAAAUGUUGUGGCUGUGGCAUUGCCUCGCUGUUCCCUGGCUGCUGAGCAGAAGGGCAUGUAGCCUCGUUCUCUCUCUACACCACAGGACGACACAACAUCUGUUUAAAAGAACAAAUAAUAAAUGGGUAGAGGUGGUGUCAACUGCCCUGCAUCUAUUUUCAGGUGCAGUCUGGGUCCAUGGUGUUCUCAGUGUCCACAUUGCCAGGGAGCCCAGCAGGGACACCCAACUCCUGUGAUUUUUGUGCGAUUUGAAAUGUGAAGGUAUAAGAGAGAGGUUCGAUCUCUGGGGUAAAAAGCUCCCAUUAUAACAUUCAGAUUCAUUUUAGAAGCCAUUUUUUAAACCUUAAGAAAAAUACCUAGGAUUAAGCGCUUAAAGCUACAAAAACUGAAUAAUAAUAUUAUGAGGGUUUGAAAUUAGCUUUUAUUUCUCCUCUUUUCCAUGCAUCGAUCCUACUGAUGGAUUAGCUGGGAAUUGGCAGCAAGUGAACUGUGCAGUCCCUUUUUUCUUUCUGAGAAUCGUGCAUUUGUUAGCGUUUCAGUUGCAGGAGGAAACCACUUCCAUGGGUCAGGGCCCUGCAUCUCAGAAGCGACCUGGUAUUUCAGCUCCUCCAGCCAGAUCGUACCUACAGGGCUCCUUGCAAAGUUUCAGUAGUUCAAGACCUGGAAAGGAAACCCCCCUCUCUUCUCCUAGGCAUCAUCUUUACCCUCCUGACACUGUUUUCUCUGCAUGCAGAGCAAAGAUGCGAGGUGGAUCUAAUUUUUAGAGGCGAGAUGUCUCAUUUGUCAGAAGCUGAGUGAAUUAGAAUAAGAGCAUGCUUUUUUUUUUCCCCCUUAAAACAGGCCAAAGUUUUUAUCAAGAUGCCAUUUAUCAGCAGUGCUACCAGCCGCUAGCAGUAGGCAUGCUGCCAAUCAUUUUAUGGAAAUAGGCAAGGACUUUAAUGUUUGGAUGCCCAUCUGAAUCGACUCUUGUUCAUGUCAGCAGAUCUGAUGUGAAAGCAAAGGUGCCCCUAUACAGUCUAGUUACCAUCAAACCUGUAAGUGUCAGCAUUUUAAAGGCAAGGAACACAAUGCUGAUGGUGGGCAAUGUCACUGGUGUAACCUAUUUCAAAGACAUCAGCUCCUGCAGCCUUUUCCUGCUCCUUGUCUCUCAAGGAUUAGUUAUGCCCAAAGUCCACCUGCUCCGUUAGUCUCUGCAAAUAAUUAUCGGCCACCUGCAUAUCACCAUCCUCACAGGUUCAUCAUUGCCCCACUCCAGCUGGUUGCAAAGGCAGUAAGCAGCUCUCUGACUUGGCCUGGGGUUUCGGGUGGUCCUUUAAGCAGUAUCUUGAUACUCAGGGCUUGCAGUUGCUUGCAGCAGCUCUUGUUCUUAUUCUACAGCCAAGGUCUGUCUGGAGGAUGAUGCAAACUUGUAGGGGUAAAAAUGUGCCCACUGCUGAG